GUGGGCUGUCUGGUUAUCAUUAGUAGAAGUAGAUAUUGUAGUAGUAGUAGUAGUAGUAUAAGAGACUGUCAGGUAGUGAGGGAAAGUGUGGGAAGGUCUGCGUUGAGUGUGGACUGUCUGGUUAUCAUUAGUGGAAGUAGAUAUUGUAGUAGUAGAAGUAGUAUAACAGAUGCGUCAGGUAGUGAGUGGAAGAGUGUGGGAAGUCUAUGUUGAGUGUGGACUGUUGUUAUCAUUACUAUUAUUAUUAUUAGUAGUAGAAGUAGUAGAGGCGAAUGAGUUAUAGAGAUGGAGGAGUGCGGAAGAUUUGUGGUUAAUGUGGUGAAUGUGUGGUGUUUACGAGUGACUGUCGAUGAUGGAUGGGUGGCUACAGUGAGUGAUAUGCUUUAUUUUUUAUUUAUUUAUUUUAUUUUAUUUAUUUAUUUAUUUAUUUAUUUUUUCAUCUAAGGACACGGCUUUACAAUUGAUGGCAUAGCAGGUUAGCAUCAUGUGGUAUUCUUGGUCUGAUAGUAAAGGGAUUUCGGAUAGUGCUAGUCUUCUUUGAUUGAUAGUGUAGUGAGUUAAGAGUAGUGUUAGCCUUCUUCCCCUGAUAGUAUUGUAAAUUAAAAUAGUGUUACUUCGAUUGAUAGUACAGCAAAUUAAAAUAGUGUUAGCCAUCUUCCAAUGAUAGUACAGUAGGGUAGGGUAGGUUAGACAAGGUUAGGUUAGGUUAGAUAAUGUUAAAGUAGGGUAGGAUUGGUAAGACAAGGCAGGGUAGGUUAGAUAAGGUUUGGGUAAGUUGUAUAAGGUUAGGUUAGGUUAGAUAAGGUUACAUUAGGGUUGGUUAGGUUAGACAAGGUUAGAGUAGGUCAGAUAAGGUUUGGGUUGGUUAGAUAAAGUUGGAGUACGUUAGAUAAGGCUACAGUAGGGUAUGUUAGGUUAGGUUGGAUAAGGUUAGGUUAGGUUAGAUAAGGUCACAGUAGGAUAUGUUAGGUUAGGUUAGGUUAGAUAAGGUUACAGUAGGAUAUGUUAGGUUAGGUUGGAUAAGGUUCGGGUAGGUUAGAUAAGGUUACAGUAGGGUAUGUUAGGUUAGGUUACAGUAGGGUAGGGUAGGUUAGAUAAGGUUUGGGAAAGUUAGAUAGGGUUAGGGUAGGUUAGAUAAGGUUACAGUAGGGUAUGUUAGGUUAGGUUACAGUAGGGUAGGGUAGGUUAGAUAAGGUUUGGGAAAGUUAGAUAGGGUUAGGGUAGGUUAGAUAAGGUUACAGUAGGGUAGGGUAGGUAAGGUUUGGGUAAGUUAGAUAAGGUUACAAUAGGUAGGUUAUGUUAGGCAAGGUUUGGGUAAGUUAGAUAAGGUUACAGUAGGGUAGGUUAUGUUAGGCAAGGUUUGGGUAAGUUAGAUAAGGUUACAAUAGGGUAGGUUAUGUUAGGCAAGGUUGGGAUAAGUUAGAUAAGGUUACAAUAGGGUAGGUUAUGUUAGGCAAGGUUGGGAUAAGUUAGAUAAGGUUACAAUAGGGUAGGUUAUGUUAGGCAAGGUUGGGGUAAGUUAGAUAAGGUUACAAUAGGGUAGGUUAUGUUAGGCAAGGUUGGGGUAUGUUAGGCAAGGCUACAAUAGAGAAGGUUAGCCUUGAGAAAGUUUGGUUAGGUAAGAACUGGGUAUGGUAGGGUAGGGCAAGAUAACUAGGAAUUAGGUAAGGUAGGCUAUAGUCACAGUGGAUAUGGUCUAAUAGGGAGAGUAUAGUAGACAUGGUUCUAUAGAGUUGUGUUAGGGUAGAUUAGUAUAAAUAUAGCUGUAGUUGAUAUUAUUAGCAAAUAUUAUUAUUUCAGAUUACGUUCUACUGUUAAAGUAUUUGGUAUUAAUGGGUGUGGUUAUGUAAGGUUAAGGUAUUGGGUAGAAGGUGUUAGUGAUAGUAUUGUUAGAGUAAUUAGAAUAGUGUAAGUAUAUAUAUAAUGUUAGUAUUUAUUUAUUAUUUAUUAUUGGUGUUAGUGGAAUGAUAUGAUUGAGAUAAAUGAGUUGGGUAAUUAGAGGAGUUGAGUGUGUGUGUGUGUGUGUGUGUGUGUGUGUGUGUGUGUGUCCGGGGGAGUUUUAAGUUAAAUAAGAAAGAAUAUAUUUGUGUUGCCUGAG
Eriocheir sinensis (Chinese mitten crab) is the source of this 2098-nucleotide long non-coding RNA. RefSeq lists it as uncharacterized. NCBI's taxonomy places the organism in Eukaryota, Metazoa, Arthropoda, Malacostraca, Decapoda, Varunidae. The transcript has 3 exons. The record is from RefSeq and is a predicted model, not a curated record.